This 477-nucleotide ribosomal RNA is filed under the name uncultured amoeba. RNAcentral's name for it is "SSU rRNA". It matches the Rfam family "Eukaryotic small subunit ribosomal RNA", at positions 711 to 1186 of the family's 1831-position model. The record is from RNAcentral.
GUGUUCUWARCGGCCCUCAUCCGCGAGGGUGGGGAAUCAACCGUAGGAUCGUUUACUUWGAGGAAAUUAGRGUGUUCAAAGCAGGSGUAACUCGCCUCCGAAUACGUUAGCAUGGGAUAAUGGAAUACGACUUCGGUCUUGUUUCGUUGGUUUCGCUUGGCUGAAGUAAUGAUUGAUAGGGACAGUUGGGGGCAUUAGUAUUUAGUUGUCAGAGGUGAAAUUCUAGGAUUUACUAAAGACUGACCAAUGCGAAAGCAUUUGCCAAGGAUGUUUUCAUUAAUCAAGAACGAAAGUAGGGGGAUCGAAGACGAUCAGAUACCGUCGUAGUCUCUACCGUAAACUAUGCCGACCAGGGAUCCGGAGAGUUUGCAUGGAUGACUCCCCGGGCACCUUGUGAGAAAUCAUAAGUGUUUGGGUUUUGGGGGGAGUAUGGUCGCAAGGCUGAAACUAAAGGAAUGACGGAAGGCUCCACGGGGC